GCAGAGUAGCUGUCGACAUUAUUGUUGCGCAGGCACUUUGGCGACUCUAGAGAACCUCGGGCCAAUCGCACGUCCCCGUGACAGCGACUUUGCAUUCAGAUGCCUGCCCUUUGAACUUUCAAUGCCACUUUCUGCACCUACCAUAGUGACUAUGGUUAACGGGGAAUCAGGGUUCGAUUCCGGAGAGGCAGCCUGAGAAACGGCUACCACAUCCAAGAAAGGCAGCAGGCGCGCUAAUUACCCACUUCUGACGCAGGGAGGUAGUGAC
This is a non-coding RNA of Pelobates cultripes (western spadefoot toad), 268 nucleotides long. The record is from the annotation of a GenBank genome assembly. Lineage: Eukaryota; Metazoa; Chordata; Amphibia; Anura; Pelobatidae.